UACGUAGGGUGCGAGCGUUGUCCGGAAUUAUUGGGCGUAAAGAGCUUGUAGGCGGUUUGUCGCGUCUGCUGUGAAAAUCCGAGGCUCAACCUCGGACUUGCAGUGGGUACGGGCGGACUAGAGUGUGGUAGGGGAGACUGGAAUUCCUGGUGUAGCGGUGAAAUGCGCAGAUAUCAGGAGGAACACCGAUGGCGAAGGCAGGUCUCUGGGCCACUACUGACGCUGAGAAGCGAAAGCAUGGGGAGCGAACAGG
This 253-nucleotide ribosomal RNA is filed under the name uncultured bacterium. RNAcentral's name for it is "partial 16S ribosomal RNA". It matches the Rfam family "Bacterial small subunit ribosomal RNA", at positions 524 to 776 of the family's 1533-position model. The record is from RNAcentral.